CUACGGGAGGCAGCAGUGGGGAAUAUUGGACAAUGGGGGAAUCCCUGAUCCAGCAAUGCCGCGUGUGUGAAGAAGGCCUGCGGGUUGUAAAGCACUUUCGGUUGGGAGGACUGCUUCUAGCACUAAUAUUGUUGGAAGUUGACGUUACCUUCAGAAGAAGCACCGGCUAACUCCGUGCCAGCAGCCGCGGUAAUACAGAGGGUGCAAGCGUUAAUCGGAAUUACUGGGCGUAAAGCGCGCGUAGGCGGCUAGAUCAGUCGGGUGUGAAAGCCCCGGGCUUAACCUGGGAACUGCAUCCGAUACUGUCUAGCUUGAGUACAGGAGAGGAGAGUGGAAUUCCACAUGUAGCGGUGAAAUGCGUAGAUAUGUGGAGGAACACCAAUGGCGAAGGCAGCUCUCUGGCCUGAUACUGACGCUGAGGUGCGAAAGCGUGGGGAGCAAACAGGAUUAGAUACCCGCGUAGUC
RNAcentral lists this ribosomal RNA (465 nucleotides) under uncultured bacterium. RNAcentral describes it as "partial 16S ribosomal RNA". It matches the Rfam family "Bacterial small subunit ribosomal RNA", at positions 339 to 795 of the family's 1533-position model. The record is from RNAcentral.